UUAAAGAGUUCUAUAACUCCCAAACCCAUGUGAACAUACCUAACGUUGCCUCGGCAGGUCGCACCUACCUUGUAGCACCCUACCCUGUAGGGCCUACCCGGGAGGUGCGGGUAAGCCUGCCGGCGGCCCACCAAACUCUGUUUGAUAUUGAAUUCUGAACCUAUAACUAAAUAAGUUAAAACUUUCAACAACGGAUCUCUUGGUUCUGGCAUCGAUGAAGAACGCAGCGAAAUGCGAUAAGUAAUGUGAAUUGCAGAAUUCAGUGAAUCAUCGAAUCUUUGAACGCAUAUUGCGCCCAUUAGUAUUCUAGUGGGCAGGACCGUUCGAGCGUCAUUUCAACCCUUAAGCCUUCGUUGCUUAGUGUUGGGAGCCUACGGCAACGUAGCUCCUCAAAGUUAGUGGCGGAGUUGGUUCACACUCUAGACGUAGUAAUUUUUUAUCUCGCCUAUUAGUUGGACUAAUCCCCUGCCGUAAAACCCCCAAUUUAUCAAGGUUGACCUCGAAUCGGUUCAGACAAACUCGCUAAAUUGAAGCAUCUUAGUCAGCGAAGGAAA
Molecule: ribosomal RNA, 554 nt
Filed under: fungal endophyte
Lineage: Eukaryota; Fungi
Description: eukaryotic LSU rRNA
Rfam family: 5.8S ribosomal RNA (bases 180-333)
Source: RNAcentral